RNAcentral lists this transfer RNA (70 nucleotides) under Batillaria attramentaria. RNAcentral's name for it is "partial tRNA-Thr". The record is from RNAcentral. Lineage: Eukaryota; Metazoa; Mollusca; Gastropoda; Batillariidae.
GCUUGAAAUCUCUUGAGUAUGAAAAAGUACAGUUGCCUUCCAAGCAGAAAGAUUAAGAAAACUUAAAAGA